RNAcentral lists this long non-coding RNA (301 nucleotides) under Prunus persica (peach). Its description in RNAcentral is "long non-coding RNA (PPER_LNC006569)". Lineage: Eukaryota; Viridiplantae; Streptophyta; Magnoliopsida; Rosales; Rosaceae. The record is from RNAcentral.
UCCAAACUAAGUAUUCUAAAUCUGUUUUAAAUCGCGCGUAUGAAAUCCUUAAAUGGAAAGAGAAAGUGGGUUAAGAUAAUUUUUUUCUUCUGAAAACCCUAGGCCCCUCUCUCCCAAGAUACACUCUAGAGUUGUUUUCACUUUGAGGGGAGGAAGCGAAUAUUCUUCCUCCUCUCUCCCCUUCUCUCUUUCUCCUUUCUCCUCUCUUCCCCCAUUUCCAGAGACAGAAGGUUUCCCUAUUUGUCUUUAUUUUGUUAUGAUUUUCCUCCACUCAUCAUAGGCAGAUGCGUCUAGGUGUCGG